Molecule: RNA transcript, 3583 nt
Organism: Lolium perenne
Lineage: Eukaryota; Viridiplantae; Streptophyta; Magnoliopsida; Poales; Poaceae
Source: RefSeq, a predicted model, not a curated record
UCAUCUUCCACGCGAAACCCUACCCAAUCCCCGUCGCCGCCGCUCUGCUCGUCUCUCCCCAAUCCCACCUCUCUCCUCUCGCGUCCCCUGCUCUUCCCACGUCCGCCGGCGUGUGGCGAGGCUGCGAUGACCAACACCGAGCAGCGGCAACGGCAGUCCGCGGUCGCCCUCCACGGGACCAGCGGUAGGGCUCGUGGUGGGUUUGUGAGGAGCAGGACGGGCCUGGGCGGGGCUCAACAGCGCGAGGAAUCGCCGGAGGCGGCCGGCGAGGGAGGCGGCGCGAAGGGAGGUAGGGCUUGCGAGGGAGGCGGCGCGAAGGAAGGGAGGGAGGAGGCGGCCGGCGAGGGAGGCGGCGCGAUGCCACGAGCCCUACGUCGACGUCCUCACUGCGGCCAAGAAGCGGCAGAUGGGUCGGCGAUGGAGGCGAUGUGAAGGUAGGGAGGGCUUCCGCGGCGGACGAGCAGUGGAGAAGAUUUAUAUGCCUUUCAUCAGGCUGCAAUUAUCGCUGCUGAAGACAUGGAGAGAAGCAACGGAUCGGAGCUUCGGGAUACUUUAUAGGCUGUAUGUUCUUCCUUUACCCGGUUACACACAGCUCUACAUAGGAUCUGGAUGGUACACCAGGAGAUUGAGUUGUGGAUCUAAUGAGAUCAUCAUAUGAAGUAAGGCUGUAAAGUGGGGACUUUAUUGAUCAGGAAGGAUUACAUAACGAUGGAUGUAUACCAACUGAAGGGGAUCUUCAGGUCCUCUCUUCUCGGAAUAAUCAUUAUUGCUCAUGCUUAAACCUUCUGUUGGUGCACUACAUGAGUUGUUGCAACAAUUGAUGUUGUCGAGGCUUGCAGUGGUGUGAAUGUUCAGGUUAUGGUUGGUGGAAUAUAAAGGACGGAUCUUAUGUCUAAGAAUAUUUACAAAUCUCAACAAUCUGGGCAAGUUCAUGUAGCUCCAAAUUGCAAGGUUAUGGUUGUUGCCAAUCCAGCAAACACCAGUACUCUUAUAUUGACAGAGUAUUCUCUAUCUAUCCUUGAGAAGAAAUAACAGAUAUUUUACUCUCCUAGACCAGGACAAGGUACUCAAUCAGAUUUCCUAGAGACUCAUGUUGGUGCAUAAUGCAAUCUUUCCUGACCUCUCUCUCACAUGCAUACAUACACACGAAAUGAAAGAUUUCAGCUAGGCCAUAAAAGACAAAAGUUUGAGCAAACAAUUGGGUGUCUGUUCUGACUAAUCAAGAUGUGCGACAUAAUCAUCGUCAGGUCUCAGGUUGUCCCGUGUGUAUUUGCCGUGGAGGGUCUACUGUGAGGGUUGUAGCUGCAGGAGAUAGGGUCAGUACUCCUGAUGGGACAACGACUGUUAUGGCUGCGGUACAAGUAUGCUUAUCCUACUAACAUCUUUGUUGCCUCUUUCUUCUCCUGGGUAUUUUCAUAUGCUCUAUUUUUGUUCCCCAUUCUUAGAGGUACACUGUACAGAUGAUUUGUCGUUGGUCAUUAACUACUGGGGAAGUUGGAGAGUAGCGGAAAUUAUACGACCACGGUCUCUUGUGCUAAUCAUCUCUAAACUUUGCUUUGUCUUUUUUGCAUUUGUUAUACUAAAUUUUUAAUAUUGUAGUCCUGAGGUAUCCACUAAUACGGAAACUCAUAUGUAUUUACAUAUGGAUGUUUGUUCUGUGUUUAGUAAUGAUCCCGAUGUAUCUUCAAUGGAUAAAAUUAAAACAAUAUUACUUCAUUAUUUAAAUAUGAUACUAUUGUGCUCUUCUCUAUGUUUUUGCUAUGAAAGCAUAAUUCAGAUUUUGCUAGGUUGCUUAAGUUUUUAUUGUUUACACAAUUUAACAUUGUUGUGCAAAAUUGUUGUGCAAUCUCUUCGUCGGUGCACUGGCGGAAGGACGAACAACGGCCGUCCAAGCUUUCCUCCUCCUCCAGCAAUGGAGCCCCCAGCAUGGGUCACGUGGAAAACCUUGAAGGUGGAGAGGGAAGCCUUGCAAAGAAGCAGCACCCUCAUGUGCGGAGCUGAUGGCCAGCAUCCAACUCAGCCGUCACCGGCCAUGGCGUCCAACCUACAGACUGCUGCAGACGCUCCUCAUAACACGGUUGGAGGAAGGGCUUGCCGCAGAGACGAGCAGUUCAAUCACCGUCUCAUAUGUCAGCACCCCACGGCAUGCGAGUGUAUAAACAAAUGGGGAUGUGUUAUCACUCUCAUCCUUGCCCCCUUCAGGAGCUCCUCAUUGGUGCAGCUCUUGGAUCUCGCCGGCCCGGAUCGACAUAGCUUUUGCAUCUACAGGUACCAUGUACAUCAUGUCCCAUGUGGCUCAACUUCCUGGAUAGCCAAGAGAUUUCUACUGUAGAAACUUCAAGUGCCAAAAGACAUUUGGACUGGGAAAGUGUUACAAUUCACCAUUACAGAUGGAGCAAUUACACAGAUAUUUCCAUGAAAACUGCAUGUCCAGGUAUAUUCUAAAGGAAGAAGAUGAAAUUGGCCCCUGUUUGUCUGGAAGGAUGCCGACAAGCAUUGCAGCUGUCUGCCCUCCUCCGCCGUUUGUGUACUUGGUUAUCAAUGGUGAACCGGGGUUGGUGACAAGGAUGGAGAGGUGGAAGUACUUACCUUAGGAGGAGACAGCGGCCAGCUCGGCGACUGGAUGCCGUCCUGUUGGAUCAGGACAUGGUCAAGCUGAAUCCGACUAAAUCUGGCUCAGCUUUGCCUAUCGUGAUGAAGAGGAGAUGGUGAUGUUCGCGGUGAUCGCUGAAGCGCCUAGACCCUAGCAGCUGAGAAGCCUUUGGCCUGUACCGAAGAAAGUAUGAAAUGGAGAUUGAAUUCUGCAGUACUUGCGUACUUGGUCACCAUUAUUCUGCCCAAAAGGUUUAGCUGAGAAUGCCUUGUGUUAUUCGGACAAUUGAGCAACAGAAGCAUAUGCAAGUUUGAAUCGGGAUUUUUUGCUUUGAGACUGGUAGUGACUCACCAUAUUACCUCAAGCUUCAAUACGAAAGCAAGAUUGAAAAGUACAGGGUCUCACCGAGUUUCAGCGGUAGAGCUGCUGUUGGACGAGAGCCUGAGACGGCGGCCUGUCGGCGGUCGCGGUGGGCAAAAGCAGGCGGCGAGGCGACCAGGUGCAGGCGUCCAUGGAGCUCUCAGCUCUGUCGCUGCUGCAAGUUGCCAUGCGGCCGGCCCGCUGCCUCCACCAGCUAGCUUCUCCCGUCGUCCCAAUCUCAACUGUUUAUUCUCAAUCCGUUGGGAAUAAAGAAUCAAGGACCAAGGAUAGGAGCUAGAGCUGCACGUGAAGAGGGAUUGGAGAUUUUGUUCGACAUGGAGAGAGCUGAAGCUGCACGUGAAGAUGGAUUGGGGAUUUUGGUCGACAUAGAGAGAGAGAGCAGAGUUGGACAGAUUUUUGCUAGAUGUACCAACUUCUCUACCAAAUCAGUGAAUGACAGUGAUGUCAGAUGUUGUAACUUGUGGCUUCAGUGGUAGUACUCCGGGUAGUACUCCUAGCCGUAGUUCAAAAAUAGCCAAAAAAAACUUCCAAACUAUGCUUGUUUAUUUUAUUUUUUUGCCACAAAGUGAUAUUGGAAGGAAAAAACUCCCAGGCUGGAUUUUAAAUUAA